RNAcentral lists this ribosomal RNA (366 nucleotides) under uncultured organism. RNAcentral describes it as "bacterial SSU rRNA". It matches the Rfam family "Bacterial small subunit ribosomal RNA", at positions 526 to 896 of the family's 1533-position model. The record is from RNAcentral.
CGGAGGAUCCAAGCGUUAUCCGGAUGCAUUGGGUUUAAAGGGUGCGUAGGCGGACUGAUAAGUCAGCGGUGAAAUCCCACGGCUCAACUGUGGAACUGCCGUUGAUACUGUUAGUCUUGAAUGCAGAUGAUGUGGGCGGAAUAUGACAUGUAGUGGUGAAAUACUUAGAUAUGUCAUAGAACACCGAUUGCGAAGGCAGCUCACAAAACUGUGAUUGACGCUGAUGCACGAAAGCGUGGGGAAUCAAACAGGAUUAGAUACCCUGGUAGUCCAGCCCUAAAGCUGAUUACUCGAUGUUGGCGAUACACCGUCCAGCGUCCAAGCGAAAGCGUUAAAGUAAUCCACUGGGGAUACGGCGCAAGGCUG